GUUAUAAUAGUUUAAUUAAAACAAAGGUUUUGUAAACCUUAAAUGAUCCUUCUUAUAAUU
Molecule: transfer RNA, 60 nt
Filed under: Ornithodoros asperus
Lineage: Eukaryota; Metazoa; Arthropoda; Arachnida; Ixodida; Argasidae
Description: tRNA-Thr
Source: RNAcentral